This 253-nucleotide ribosomal RNA is filed under the name uncultured prokaryote. RNAcentral's name for it is "partial 16S ribosomal RNA". It matches the Rfam family "Bacterial small subunit ribosomal RNA", at positions 524 to 776 of the family's 1533-position model. The record is from RNAcentral.
UACGAAGGGGGCUAGCGUUGUUCGGAUUUACUGGGCGUAAAGCGCGCGCAGGCGGUCCUUCAAGUCAGGGGUGAAAGCCCAGAGCUCAACUCUGGAACUGCCUUUGAGACUGUAGGACUUGGGUAUGGGAGAGGUGAGUGGAAUUCCGAGUGUAGAGGUGAAAUUCGUAGAUAUUAGGAAGAACACCAGUGGCGAAGGCGGCCACCUGGCUCGGUACUGACGCUCAGGUUCGAAAGCGUGGGGAGCAAACAGG